CCCAAAAUGCACCAUGGCCGCCCCUCUCAUUAAGGGUAGUAUAGUCAUUUUGUCUUCUUUUAUAAUGUACUAUAAAUAGAACCUUUUAGCACUUAUUUCCUUAGUUUUUUAUGGAUGUAAGACUUGAAACAUGGUAGCACCUUUAGUUAUAUAAAAGACUUGAAACAUGGUAGCACCUUUAGUUAUAGGGCUUGGAAUAGCCACCAAACCGAAACGAGGGCAACAAGUGUGAUAUCACUUGUGUUGCAAUGUUGGCUUGAUACGUUAGUGUUUAGAGGAGGUAAAGUCAUGUCAAAC
This 297-nucleotide long non-coding RNA is filed under the name Capsicum annuum. Its description in RNAcentral is "long non-coding RNA (CANN_LNC012059)". Lineage: Eukaryota; Viridiplantae; Streptophyta; Magnoliopsida; Solanales; Solanaceae. The record is from RNAcentral.